RNAcentral lists this long non-coding RNA (353 nucleotides) under Homo sapiens (human). Its description in RNAcentral is "non-protein coding lnc-KLRG1-6:2". Lineage: Eukaryota; Metazoa; Chordata; Mammalia; Primates; Hominidae. The record is from RNAcentral.
GCGGGGGUUGUUCCGGCAGCCUUUCACUGAGGCCACCCGCCAGUUUCAAAUUCAGUGGCGUUUGCCCUGAUUCCCGGGGCCUGGCUUUCAGCGUAGCAAUUCUGCCGGCGAAGAAGGUGAGCGAUUGCUGCUGUGCAGAAGGUCAGUCCUACCUUUUUCUUUCUGAGAGCCUCCCAACCCCGAGAUCACAUUUCUCACUGCCUUCUGUCUGCCCAGUUUCACCGGGAGAAGUCGGCCUCUUCCUGAUGGGCAACCACACCACCGCCCGGCGCCGUGCCCUUCCUUUGUCCUGCCCUCUGGAGACAGUGUUUGUCGUGGGCGUGGUCUGCAGGGAUCCUGUUACAAAGGUGAAA